This 305-nucleotide ribosomal RNA is filed under the name uncultured bacterium. RNAcentral's name for it is "bacterial SSU rRNA". It matches the Rfam family "Bacterial small subunit ribosomal RNA", at positions 335 to 657 of the family's 1533-position model. The record is from RNAcentral.
GUCCUACGGGGCGCAGCAGUGGGGGAUAUUGCACAAUGGGGGAAACCCUGAUGCAGCGACGCCGCGUGUGGGAAGACGGUCCUCUGGAUUGUAAACCACUGUCCCCAAGGACGAAGAUGACGGUACCUGGGGAGGAAGCUCCGGCUAACUACGUGCCAGCAGCCGCGGUAAUACGUAGGGAGCGAGCGUUGUCCGGAAUUACUGGGCGUAAAGGGAGCGUAGACGGCUGUGCAAGUCUGAAGUGAAAGCCCAGGGCUCAACCCUGGGACUGCUUUGGAAACUGUGGAGCUAGAGUGCUGGAGAGG